Ovis aries (sheep) is the source of this 72-nucleotide transfer RNA. It matches the Rfam family "tRNA". Rfam says of the family: Transfer RNA (tRNA) molecules are approximately 80 nucleotides in length. Their secondary structure includes four short double-helical elements and three loops (D, anti-codon, and T loops). Lineage: Eukaryota; Metazoa; Chordata; Mammalia; Artiodactyla; Bovidae. The record is from Rfam.
UCCUUGAUGGCUUAGUGGUAAAGAACCCACCUGCCAAUGCAGGAGGCACAGGUUCAAUCCCUGGUCUGGGAA